AGAAAAAUAAGCUAAAAAAGCUAUUGGAUUCAUAAUUCAAUUAUAAGUACACCUUUUUUUCUA
Molecule: transfer RNA, 63 nt
Filed under: Paratrioza sinica
Lineage: Eukaryota; Metazoa; Arthropoda; Insecta; Hemiptera; Triozidae
Also listed under: 1 other name
Description: tRNA-Met
Source: RNAcentral